CCUACGGAGGGCAGCAGUGGGGAAUAUUGGACAAUGGGCGAAAGCCUGAUCCAGCCAUGCCGCGUGUGUGAAGAAGGCCUUCGGGUUGUAAAGCACUUUCAGUGGGGAAGAAAGCCUUGGGGCUAAUACCCUCGAGGAAGGACAUCACCCACAGAAGAAGCACCGGCUAACUCCGUGCCAGCAGCCGCGGUAAUACGGAGGGUGCGAGCGUUAAUCGGAAUUACUGGGCGUAAAGCGCGCGUAGGCGGUCUGAUAAGCCGGUUGUGAAAGCCCCGGGCUCAACCUGGGAACGGCAUCCGGAACUGUCAGGCUAGAGUGCAGGAGAGGAAGGUAGAAUUCCCGGUGUAGCGGUGAAAUGCGUAGAGAUCGGGAGGAAUACCAGUGGCGAAGGCGGCCUUCUGGACUGACACUGACGCUGAGGUGCGAAAGCGUGGGUAGCAAACAGGAUUAGAUACCCCAGUAGUC
RNAcentral lists this ribosomal RNA (465 nucleotides) under Vreelandella stevensii. Its description in RNAcentral is "partial 16S ribosomal RNA". It matches the Rfam family "Bacterial small subunit ribosomal RNA", at positions 338 to 795 of the family's 1533-position model. The record is from RNAcentral. Lineage: Bacteria; Pseudomonadati; Pseudomonadota; Gammaproteobacteria; Oceanospirillales; Halomonadaceae.